AAAUGAAUAGACGGGACCCCGCACAAGCGGUGGAUCAUGUUGUUUAAUUCGAGGAUACACGAAAAACCUUACCAGGCCUUGACAUACUCUGCAAAGACUUAGAAAUAAGUACGGAGGUUAACAGAGAUACAGGUGGUGCACGGUUGUCGUCAGCUCGUGUCGUGAGAUGUUGGGUUAAGUCCCGCAACGAGCGCAACCCCUGUUGCUAGUUACCAUCAUUAAGUUGGGGACUCUAGCGAGACUGCCAGUGAUAAACUGGAGGAAGGUGGGGAUGACGUCAAAUCAUCAUGCCCCUUAUGGCCUGGGCUACAAACGUGAUACAAUGGCUGAAACAAAGAGCAGCGAGAGGGUGACCUUAAGCGAAACUCAUAAAAGCAGUCUCAGUUCGGAUUGAAGUCUGCAACUCGACUUCAUGAAGCAGGAAUCGCUAGUAAUCGCGAAUCAGAAUGUCGCGGUGAAUACGUUCUCGGGGUUUGUACACACCGCCCGU
RNAcentral lists this ribosomal RNA (490 nucleotides) under uncultured bacterium. Its description in RNAcentral is "bacterial SSU rRNA". It matches the Rfam family "Bacterial small subunit ribosomal RNA", at positions 903 to 1397 of the family's 1533-position model. The record is from RNAcentral.